CAAGAGAAAGAAGGGAGAAAGAAGAAGAAGAAGAAAAAGGACUGCUGUUCGUGUAUUUUUGGGGCUGCAAUUACAUAUUUUCUCUGCUCCUGCUGUGUUCUCUUGUUGGCAUUAUUGAAAUCCUACUGCUGUUGUAGAAAAGGAUGCAUGCAAGGUAAGAUUAGAGGUGCAAGGGGCUGUCCAAGCUGAAAUCCUGCUAAAAUUUUACUGCAUAUAUUGAGCUGCUACUGUACCUGUUUGGAGAGGUAAGGAGCCUUUAGCUCAAAAUGGUAGAGCAUCUGGAGUAAUGCCCAGGUUAUGGUGGUUCGAAUACAUCAAGACUCAAUGAAUUUUUGAGAUUUGCAGAGCUAGCUUGGAGAGUCUGGUAAGGUUAGGAGUCAGUUGAGGUAUGCUAGUUUUUCCUUGCUUGACCAGGUCGUAGUCACUAUUAUGUAAUUGUCUAAUCUUUCUUUUUUCUCUAAUUUAUAAUCUGUAUGUAAUUCUGUACUGGGUGUAAUUACUUGUCUUCUUGAGCUUAAGAUUGUAUCCUUUUGUGUGUUCUGAUGUAAUCUUUGCAAACAUGCGGUGGUGUGAGUUUAGCAUGUAUAAAUGAUUGAGUGGAAGAUUUUCGAAAA
Molecule: long non-coding RNA, 614 nt
Organism: Macadamia integrifolia
Lineage: Eukaryota; Viridiplantae; Streptophyta; Magnoliopsida; Proteales; Proteaceae
Exons: 2
Source: RefSeq, a predicted model, not a curated record